Molecule: long non-coding RNA, 6360 nt
Filed under: Vigna radiata
Lineage: Eukaryota; Viridiplantae; Streptophyta; Magnoliopsida; Fabales; Fabaceae
Description: long non-coding RNA (VRAD_LNC003572)
Source: RNAcentral
GGAAAGAUCAAAACCUAUACCUACAAAUAUACAGAAAUGAAAAGUACAUGCAUAAAUCCUAGAACACAUGCAUGAUUCAAUAUACACAAUUGUUUUAUGGUCUGACAUUUUGCAGAAUUAGACAUAUAUAAUCAAAAUAUGAAAAAUGAGCCAUACUGAAUAGGAAUUAAGAAACUUAAAAAAGAAUACAGAAAAUGUCUGAGAUUUAAGCAUCUUAAAAUCAGAUAGGAAUUUUCUACAGUCUGCCAUUUGUAUACAAAUUGUGCAGUUAUAAAAGUACCAUAGUAGAAAUAACAAAUAUAUGGGGAGGGUGUUAAGUUAUUAAGUUUCUUUUAUUUAGUUUCUGUCACGUACUAAUAAAUUCCUGUUUUAUAAGAGUGAAAUAGUCUUAGGUGGUUACGUGGUUAUACGUGCCUAUUUUAGUGCAUUGCAGUAUGGCAUUUUCAGUUUUCCAGUUAGUGUAAAGGCUUAUAAAAGCCACCUCUGUUUAUUGAAUAAUACAUUCUCUUAUUCUGCAUCAUCUUGUGUAUUAUAUACCCUGAGUAUUAACCAUUGGUAUCAGAGCUCCGUAAAGGGGCCUGGUACAGAGUGUGAGUCUAGAGUGCUGUGAGAGAACCACAAAACAUUCAAGUGUGAGAAUACAGUACGUGUAAAAGGAUGUCAGCAGAGAAGUUCAUGCAACCGGCCAUACCAAGGUUUGAUGGCCAUUAUGACUUUUGGUCCAUGACAAUGGAGAACUUCUUACGUAGCAAAGAAUUGUGGCAGCUCAUAGAAGAGGGCGUACCAGUGAUUGCAGCCACACCCACUGAGGAACAACGUAAGAGUGUGGCUGAGGCCAAUCUAAGGGAUCUGAAGGUAAGAAAUUACCUAUUCCAAGCUAUUGAUCGGGAGAUCUUGGAAACCAUAUUAGACAAAAGUACGUCACAGGCAAUUUGGCAAUCCAUGCAGAAGAAAUAUCAAGGCUCAAUGAGAGUGAAACGUGCUCGUCUUCAAGCACUACGUCGUGAGUUCGAGCUUUUAAACAUGAAAGAAGAGGAGAAAGUGGAUGCGUAUCUAGGACACACACUUAGUAUAGUUAACAAAAUGAAAUCAAACAGUGAGAAAGUAGAUUCUAGCACAGUGGUUAGCAAGAUACUUCGAUCGCUAAUUGCAAAAUUCAAUUACGUGGUGUGUUCUAUUGAGGAGUCUAACGAUUUAAGCAUUCUCAGCAUUGAUGAACUUCAUGGCAGUUUGCUUGUCCAUGAACAGAGAAUGCAAAGUCUUCAACCAGAGGAACAAGUGUUGAAAAUGACUCAUGAUGACCGAUCUGGAAUAGGCCGUGAUCGUGGUCGUGGAUACUGUCGUGGCCGUGGGAGAGGUCGAGGACAACAACCAUUAAAUUGAGCACUCAUUGAAUGCUUUCACUAUCACAAGCUCGGCCAUUUUCAGUAUGAAUGUCCCGAAUCUGGAAACAAGGCCCACUAUGCAACAUUUGAAGAAUCAAAAGAAGCAGAAGAUGAGCUAUUAGUAGCAACAUAUGAGGAGAUGCCAAAACCUGUCCAAGAGGAAGAUUGGUUCUUGGAUUCCGGCUGUAGCAACCACAUGACCGGAAACAAGCUUUGGUUUUCAGAAGUGAGAGAAGAGGAAUUUAAUCGGUCUGUUAAACUCGGAAAUAACACAACAAUGGCUGUCACUGCGAAAGGUAGCAUUCAGAUUCAAAUUAAUGGCACCUCGCAUGUCAUCACUGACGUUUACUAUGUCCCAGAACUUAAGACAAAUCUCUUAAGUCUAGGGCAACUUCAAGAGAAAGGUUUGGCUGUGCUAUUUCAAAAUAAUACGUGUAAAAUAUAUCAUCCAGAUCGAGGACUGAUUCUUCACACCAACAUGAAAGGCAACCGAAUGUUUUAUCUGACAGCUUCAAUGAUUACUCAACCUCUCAGAUGCCUUCAAACUGAGGAUGCUUCAGACAGGGAGACACAAUUAUGGCACAGACGUUUUGGGCAUUAAACAUACUUGCGAGUAAGCAAAUGGUGAUCGGUCUACCGCAAAUGAAACUUCCUCAAACUCUAUGCACUACCUGUCUUGUGGGCAAGCAACAUAAAGAUAAUAUACCAAUGCAAAGCUCAUGGAGAGCUUCAGCAAAACUUCAGUUAAUUCAUGCCGAUGUAUGUGGUCCGAUCUCGCCUUCUUCACACAGCAACAAAAGGUACAUAUUAAAUUUCAUUGACGAUUACUCAAGAAAAACUUGGGUCUAUUUCUUACACGAAAAAUCCAAGACUUUCACUGCAUUCAAGAGCUUUAAAGCAUGUGUUGAGAAGGAAGCCAACACCCACAUUAUCUGUCUCAGAACAGAUCGUGGUGGUGAAUUCAUAUCCAAGGAGUUUGAGAAUUUUUGCACUCAACAAGGCAUCACUAAGCAAUUGACAACUGCCUACACUCCUCAACAAAAUGGAGUCGCAGAAUGCAAGAAUCGCACCAUCAUGAACGUUGUACGAGCUGUGUUACACGACAAACAGGUCCCAAAAUCCUUUUGGCCUGAAGCGGUGCGUUGGUGCAUACAUGUUCAAAACAGAAGUCCCACUUUUGCCCUUAAUCAGCGAACCCCAUAGGAGAUAUGGAGCGGAAUCAAACCACGAGUUGACUAUUUUCGAACAUUUGGUUGCAUUGCUCAUGUGCACAUUCCAAAUCAAAAGAGAAGCAAACUUGAUGAUAAAAGCCACCCGUGUAUUUUGUUGGGCAUAAGUGACGAAUCUAAAGCAUACAAACUAUUCGAUCCUAUCAUGAAGCGUGUGAUCGUGAGUAGAGACGUGGUGUUCAAAGAAGAUAAAAGUUGGAAUUGGAACGAGAACAUAGAAAGGAGCAAAACUGCAAUUCUAGAUUGGGAAAAUGAAGUAGAAAAUGAAGCAGUCAUAGUAGACCCAAUGAAUGAAAAUGCAGAAAAUGAAGCAGUCACAGUGGACCCAGUGAACGAACAUGCAGAGUCUACAUCACAUGAAAUACCAACUAGUAAUAACGAAGUGCACAGACCAGCUUCCAAUUCAGAACACGUUGAUUCCGCAACAGAAGUCUUGGGCCCAAGAUCACGAAGACAACCAGCAUGGCUGUCUGAUUACGAGACCACUUUUUCAGUAGAAGAAGAAAAUUUACUAGCAUUGAUGAUGACUGAGUCUAGAGAUCCCCAGUCAUUCAAAGAGGAGUGCACAAAUCAACAAUGGAGAAAGGCUAUGGAUGCAAAGAUGAAAGCAAUAGAAAAGAAUCAUAUGUGGGAACUUGUGAAUCCACCAGAGGGAGUAACACCCAUUGGUGUCAAGUGGAUUUUUAAGACCAAGUUUAAUGAAAGUGGCCACAUAGAGAAGUAUAAGGCUAGACUAGUGGCCAAAGGGUAUGCUCAACAUUUUGGAAUAGAUUAUACUGAAGUUUUUGCUCCAGUGGCAAGACUUGACACCGUGAGAUUGAUAUUAGCUCUAGCAGCUCAAAAUGCAUGGGAAGUAAUGCAACUUGACGUCAAAAGCGCGUUCUUACAUGAUGAGCUCCUGGAAGAAGUAUAUGUCCAACAACCUGAAGGUUUCAUCAAGAAAGGAAAAGAAGAUCACAUAUAUCGUCUCAACAAAACACUAUAUGGACUUAAACAAGCUCCAAGAGCUUGGUAUAGCAAGAUCGAAGCUUACUUUGCAAAAGAACACUUUGAACGAUGCUCGAGGCUCGAGUGAACACACCUUGUUCACAAAAAGGACUCACGGUAACAUUUUAAUUGUCAGUAUCUAUGUUGACGAUUUGAUUUUCAUUAGCAAUAGCAAAUCUAUGUGUGACAAGUUUAAAAACUCAAUGAAGGCAGAGUUUGAUAUGACUGACUUAGGCAAAAUGAGACAUUUCCUUGGAAUCGAAGUUGUACAAAGAAACACAGGAAUCUUCAUUUGUCAAAGACAAUAUGCUCAUGAUGUACUAGCUCGCUUCAACAUGACUGAAAGCAACUCGGUGCGAAAUCCAAUGGUUCCAGGCACAAUACUCUCCAAGGAUAUUGAAGGUGUUGCAGUAGACGCUACCAAAUUCAAACAAGUCGUUGGGAGCCUCAUGUAUCUAACAAUGACCCGGCCAGAUUAAUGUUUGGAGUAAGUUUAAUUAGUCGAUACAUGGAAAAUCCAAAAGAGUCACAUUGGGCUGCAGCAAAACGUCUAUUAAGAUACCUCAAAGGAACUCUUGAAUAUGGUAUAUUCUAUCAAAGGAAAACAAAAACUGGUCCCAUAGCUUAUAGUGACAGCAAUUAUGCAGGUGAUUUAGAUGAUAGAAGAAGCACAUCUGGAGCAGUUUUUCUAAUUGGAAAUGGAGCAGUUUUGUGGAUAUCUAAAAAGCAGCCUGUGGUAACCCUAUCCACCACCGAGGCUGAAUACAUUGUCGCAGCAUCUUGUGCCUACCAGUGUAUUUGGAUUCAAAGAAUUUUGGAGCAUCUUGGUUCAGCAAAAAAGGAAGCAAUUGAAGUUUUAUGUGACAACAAUUCUACCAUUCAAUUAUCCAAAAAUCAUGUCUUUCAUGGAAGGAGCAAGCAUAUAGGAGUCAGAUUUCAUUUUCUAAGAGACUUGGUUAAUGAUCAAGUAGUUCGUUUAACAUACUGUUGUUCCAAUGAGCAAGUAGCUGACAUAAUGACUAAAGCAUUGAAGCUUGACCAGUUUGAAAAAAUUCGACACAUGCUUGGAGUAAUUGCAGUCACUGAAAUAAGCUAAUUUAGCUUACAGGAAGAAAUGUUAAGUUAUUAAGUUUCUUUUAUUUAGUUUCUGUCACAUACUAAUAAAUUCUUGUUUUAUAGGAGUGAAAUAGUCUUAGGUGGUUACGUGGUUAUACGUGCCUAUUUUAGUGCAUUGCAGUAUGGCAUUUUCAGUUUUCCAGUUAGUGUAAAGGCUUAUAAAAGCCACCUCUGUUUAUUGAAUAAUACAUUCUCUCAUUCUGCAUCAUCUUGUGUAUUAUAUACCUUGAGUAUUAACAGAGGGGGCAUGAGAUAGUAAAGCAAACUAAACUCCAGGUUCCAAUGAAAAAGUUAUGGUGUUUCUCAUAAAUAAUCACGAAGUUAUACUUGGAGAAAAUGAAAUUUGAAAUGAUAUUUUGAAAAAUAUUCUGGGCAUUAUGCAUUUCCAGGGAAAAGACUAUAUCGUGUCGUGCUUAAUUAUUGUUAAUUACAUGAUGAGAGGUGCCGCUUUCUCAUGGCAAGGGAAACAAGGAUGGAAAUAACCUUACAACCCAACUAUUAACAUUCACUCACUAGUUUCUAUCACAUACUUUCAAUCAUCAACAGAAUUUUGAAAAUCAUUUCAGAAAAUGUUAAAUGUUAACCAAGCACGCCUUUUAAUUCUACAAAAUGCCAUUUUCGGGGGAAUAUAAUCACAUACCUUGUAAAACAAUAAUUUUCACCAGUCCAGUCAGCAAAAAAGAAUAUGGAGAUAGACCAAAUAUAAGAGUAUAAACAAGAUCAAACAACAUGUAUACUAACCCACCCAAAUUUCUCUCCUCAGGACAACUAAAGCUAGAGUGGUUUCUCACAACACUACACAGACAUGCACUGACUCAACAGAAGCCUGUAAAAAGGGCCACUGGAAAAUGAGAAAAACUUAGAAAUUGUACCCUACAGAGUAACUCACACCACAAUAUAUUGAAAACAGAAUAAAUUGAUUAUGCGUCGAAGUUAUCGAUCUCAUAGCAGUGCAUUACGGCUAACUCUGAAAACGCUAGCAGGAUUGCUGGAAGCAGGAUGAGCAAUAUUUUAAAUAUUAUAAUAAUGUAAACUAAAAAAUUUAUACUACACAUAAUAAAAAAGGAAGCAAUAAUCCCUAAUUUAAAGGAAUUUAUGAUGAAAAAUCCAAACACAAUCCCCACCAAUCUAGGAGAAAUUAGUGAAAAUAAUAGAAAAAAACAUAACAAAUUAGGAAAAAACUAUGAAAGUCAAAAGGAAUAAGAAAAAAAAGAACAAUGGAUAAAACAUAUAGUUCUAUGGAGUAUGAACUAAGAAGGAAUAAAGGUUCAGACCGAGGUAACUUUUUUUGUGAAUUGUUUACCAAAAAAUACCCAGAUAAAAAAAUAGUUAUUGAACUACUGAAAACUGCUCCGCUAUUUGAGUCCAGUAGCAGCGGUGGGCUGCUUUGCUUCACUACCCCACAAUUGCCUUAGUAUAGCACACUGUUGACUAUUGUAUUAAACAAGCACAAAAUUAAAUUGAUUACACAUGACGAUUUACACUUGCAUUUGUUUGAAAGCAUUUCUAACAAUUUCUCCCACAAACAAGUUUUCAAUAAUGCACUUCCAACAUAUAGGAUAAUUCAUAAUAGAUAAUAAAUGCAAUUUUGGCCGAAUGAAGAUGAAACAAAGAUUCCACCGCAUAAAGCAUAGACCAUUUAG